GUUAGCCAGCUCAACGUUUUUUUUCACGAAAUUGGACGGUAGGGACGAAUGUCAAAACAUUUCGUUCAUACAGGGGUUGUCUCACAACAAAAAAACUUACAAGGACGAAAACCAAAAUCUCGCGAACUUACAGGGACCUUUUACCUAUUUAAGUCAAAAAAAAAAAAAAUCCAUUUACUAUCACGAAAGGUAAAAUAUUAAUGAUUUUCCUUUUGAAGAAAAAAAUGAUUAAAAUUUAGUAAGUGAUACUUCCUCUAGU
Molecule: long non-coding RNA, 259 nt
Filed under: Medicago truncatula (barrel medic)
Lineage: Eukaryota; Viridiplantae; Streptophyta; Magnoliopsida; Fabales; Fabaceae
Description: long non-coding RNA (MTRU_LNC003583)
Source: RNAcentral